This 660-nucleotide small RNA is filed under the name Drosophila ananassae. Its description in RNAcentral is "GF26232". Lineage: Eukaryota; Metazoa; Arthropoda; Insecta; Diptera; Drosophilidae. The record is from RNAcentral.
UUCAUUUCGUUUCCAGUGAACAACACCCCGUAAGCAGGACACAAAAAAUUGUUACAGUUUGGCUAUAAAAUUACAAAUUUUUUGUUAUUUUUUUCCCUGGGUCCUUUAUAUUUGAAAGAGAAUAUGUCAGCAUGUGAUUUCAAAGAGGCAAAAAAAAAGCGUCUGAAAAAAAUUUAAUAAAAACCCACCGGAAAUUAUGUGCACGACUUGAUUGGAAUGUCAGAUAAAGUCAAAUGGAUUUCAGCGUAAAUUAAGUUGCCAGAAAAAUGGAGAAUUUCCACCCAACACCCAGCUGCUGUCUAAGCUUUUUUUUUAUUAUCCUAAAUUUUUGAGGGAAAAUGGUGUAAAAAAUAUACAUUUUUGGUCUAGUUUGGAGAUUUUAUAUUGAUUCUAAAAAAAAUAAAUAUUCACCAUAAGAACUGAUGAAAGCCCAAGAAGGAAGGAUUAUCCUUUUCUUUCCGAAAUAAAAAGGAUAAAAUUAAAUGAUACAAAACCGGUUAGACCGGUCGUAUCCAUGACGAAAUAUUGUGGUAUUUUUUAUGAAAAUAUUUGAUCCAUUUCGCAUAUGAAUAUCUCCGGUGAAUGGGAAUAAAUUAAACCCCUUUCGGGAUGCAGCUGGCCAAGUUUCGGGCAUAUUCAGAGCGCGACGAAGGAAAAACA